RNAcentral lists this non-coding RNA (27 nucleotides) under Bombyx mori (domestic silkworm). The record is from RNAcentral. Lineage: Eukaryota; Metazoa; Arthropoda; Insecta; Lepidoptera; Bombycidae.
UGGAUAAUGGGAAGGACAUAAACUUCA